UAUAAUCAUGGACUGCUAGGCCGGUAUUCAUAGUCCAAGCUUGAGUUUCAAGACGAUCUUAAGCCCGUUCUCAAGACCAAAAUCGAUUCAUAGUUCUUGCUUAAGAUCGAUUCUCAAGUUGAAACUUGAAGUCGGUCUCAAGGUAGAACUACAGUAAAUCGCCGACUUGAGAUGGUCUUGAGCUGUCAAGUUGACAGUUUCCAGUGAACAGGUUAGUAAUUUCGUAUAUCUUAUACUUUUAUAGUAAAUUGUCUUGUAUACUUCAGGAUUUGGGUAGAACUGAAAGUGAUGGAGACAUCAACGUGGAGACCGUGGCUUUCUGUAAAGAUCCCGCAUUCUCUGCUGCUGCAACCGGUGCAAUCAACAGCAACGUACAAGGAAAACUUUACAUUUGGGAUAUUUCUAAACAAACCCUCAGGCACGAGAUAGACCAGGAAGGUGGUAUCGUAAAAUUGGUUUAGACCCAGACAUCGAUUUUGUUAACAGCAGCAUUAGAUGGUAAACUAAAGAUGUUUCGAUGCUAAAGCAGGCUAUUGCCUCCGGACGUUUUCAGGACAUAGCGCGGCCUUAUACGACUUAUGCAUAUCCAGGUAAACUAUUGGCGGACAAAUUUGUGUACUGAUUAGUUGCGAAAGGAACAGAAAAUGGAAUUGUUAUCGAACAGAUUCGGAACGGGUUAAUUUCGACGUGUUAGUUUUGCUUAUACUCGCACCAAAUAGUUGCUAACGAACAAUAUAUUUUUCACUGAAAAAUUUGGAUAACUAUAUAAUAAAUUUCAUAAUAAAUUUCGAUUCUUUUGCACUGCAACAUUUUUGAGCGUUCAAGUGUUCUCGGGGUCAAUUCUGUAUCUUGCAAUAUAGUGAAAAUGCUACAAGUGAGCGACUUUGUCGCUUUCUAAGGAGACUGUUAGAAAGAGACACAGCUAUUCACUUUUAGCAUAAGAUACAGAAUUGACACCCUGAUCUUUGAUGACAUUUUUGGGAUAUGGCGUUCUCGCUUGCAAAAUACCGAAAUUCUAUUUAAUACAUAUUUUACAUAUACUUAACGAUGUUUUAUUAUUUUCCAGUGACGGGAAGAAAGCGUUGACCACUUCCGACGACCCAAUCA
Long non-coding RNA from Vollenhovia emeryi, 1107 nucleotides. RefSeq lists it as uncharacterized. The record is from RefSeq and is a predicted model, not a curated record. Lineage: Eukaryota; Metazoa; Arthropoda; Insecta; Hymenoptera; Formicidae. The transcript has 3 exons.